GUCCAUAGCUUCCUUCCUGCCGCUUAAUCCGCCAUUCCGAAUUAGUUCGUGGCACGCGUCGCAACCGAGCUUCGUCCUCUCGUUAAUUGCAGUUAAUUAGAAUAUUUUAUCCAACGUACGCUCUAAUUUUGUAUAUCGAUCGAACGUCGAAAACGCUAUUUCCACGGGUGAAUUUAUUAACAUCGAUCACGCUCAACUACGAAAUAUAUUCUGCUGCGUUCCUUAACCUAACAACCAUACAAGCCAUCGUUAUUUUCGAUUAUACAAUGGAAGAACUACGACGUUCGCAUUUUCGUCAUCAAUUUUACUUAUUUACAAUGAGAAAUGAUGUUGGACACACGACAACGACGACUGAUCGAAACUUUACAAGCACGUGGGGAAGCCAUUGGAAAGAUGACGUAAUAUGUACGUACGACGGUCCACAUCUUUCUUGCUGCCGCUUACUCCGCCAUUCUGAAUUAUUUCGUGGCGUUUGUCGCAAGCCAGCUUCGUCCUCUCGUUGACUGCAGAAUGGGAGAGGUACGACGUCUGGAUUUUCGUCUUCAAUUUUACUUAUUUACAAUGAGAAAUGGUGUUGGACACACGACGACGAGUGAUCGAAACAACAAACACGCGGGGAAGCCAUUGGAAUGAUGACGUAACGCGUACGCGCGACGGUCCAUAGAUUCCUUCCUGCCGCUUAAUCCGCCAUUCUAAAUUGUCUCGUGCCAAGCGUUGCACUCGAGCUUCGUCCUCUCGUUAAUUAGAAUUAUUAGUUAAUUAGAAUAUUUUAUCUAACGUUCACUCAGAUUUUAUAUAGCGACGAAUACCAAAAAUGCGAUUUCCGCGAGUGAAUUUAUUAAUAACGAUCACGCACAAUUGCGAAAUAUAACUUAUUCUACUGCGUUCCUUAACCUAACAUAAUCAUCUAAGCCAUCGUUCUUUCGAUUAUAGGAUGGAAGAGGUACGAUGUUCGGAUUAUCAAUUUUACUUACGUACGAUAAGAAGUGAUAUUCGAUACAGGACGACGAGUGGGCGUAGAUUCUGUAAAUUUGUUCGUCAGCGUUAACAACACAGUGUGGCCCAUGUUCCUAGAAAGAAGCAAGAUUGAUUUGGCUAGAGUUCAACAAAGUAGACGUCUUCCGUUUAAGUUUAUACAUUCAUUCUUCGAUUAAGCAGUGUUCUUUCAGCGAAACUUCUUUUAGUAAUUUGCCGUCAGAGUAUAUUUUUUGUUCGAUUGUACAUUUUUUGGGAAGUGCGUUUUAUAUACGUGGAAUAGUUGAUAAUUCGGAAUUCAUUCAAAUUGAUUAACGUUGAUGUAACAUUAUUUCUUUAAUUUUACAUUAGUGGAUUCUACAUGGAUUCUUUCAACCUUCAUCGUCGUCAUGUGAUUAAUAAUCGACAUCAUCAGGAUAGGGAGGAGUUGUGCACGGUCGUCACCGCGCAGUUGAAUCUUUCUAGACGCAACCCACUUUUUAUCGAGCACUUGUUUAUGGUCGAGAUUUGUCUCGUACCAUUUUCUGUGCAUUUACGCUGGUUGCUCUGCCUUCGUCCAGCAUUAUAAAAUAACCGAGGACAUUCUACUCUCCUCCUUAUUUUUUAGACCUGCUUCAGAUGUCGUUAAUUGAUCUCACGUCGAGGACGAUCGAUGGGAAAAUCUAUGUACGCGAACGCGCUUAAUCUACAUUAUUUUAACGAGUCGUCGUCCGUCUUGGAAUAUCACUGCGAAAUAAAAAUUGUAGACUUUUCGUUGAUAGUACAUGACAGAACGAAUACUGCUUAAAUCACGGAGUGGAUGUAUCAUUCGACGGAUCGUUUCCUGAUUGCUGUAAUGCGGUUGACAGUUCUUUAGCCCACGUGGGGAAGCCAUUGCAAAGGUGACGUAAUGCGCAAGUGCGGCGGUCCACAGCUCCCUUGCUGCCUCAGAAUCCACCAUUUUGAAUAAUUAUUGGCACGUGUUACGACCAAGCUUUUUUCUCUCGUUGAUUGCAGAAUGGAAGAGGUAUGACGUCCAGAUUUUCGUCAUCAAUUUUACUUAUUUACAAUAAUAAAUGGUGUUCGACACACAACGACUGGAUGUAGACGUGAUUUCUUUCGUUAUUGUUGACAUUACAUCGUGGCUAGUUUUCUUAAAAAUAAGCAAGAUGAAUUUAGUUACAUUCGAACAGAAUUGACAUCUUGACAGUACGAACGCUACUUAAAUCGUGGAAGGAAGCGUUCCUUGAUCUAACAACCAGCUAAGGAAUCAUUAUUUUCGAUGAUAGAAAGAAAGAAGUAUGAAGUUCAAAAUUUUCGUCAUCAGUUUUACUUAUCUAUGAUAAGCAAUGGUAUUGGACACAGGACGACAACUGAUAAGCAAUAGUUGACAUAUAUUAUUAUUUAUUUUCACGUUACCCUUUACGAUAACGUUUAGCUAAUUCUACAUUUAUUUUUUCAGGGUAUAGGCAUUGCGAUUUCGUCCGUUAUUGUUAACAAUGCAUCGUGGCCCGUGUUCCUUGAAAUAAGCAUGGUGAAUUUAGUUACAGUCGAACAGAAUUGACAUCUGUUUACACAUUCAUUCUUCGAUUAAACAGUGUUCUAUUAACGAUACUUUUACAUCGGAGUAUAUUUUUCUUCCGAUUACAUUUUUCAUUUAAUAUACAUCGAGUAGCUGAUAAUUCAAAGUUUAUUCAAGUUGGAUAACGUUAUCGUAACUUCAUUCCUUUAAUCGAUGAAAAAAUCUAUGUAAGCGAACGCGUCUUAAAUAACACUAUUUCAACGAAUCAUAUGGUCUCUCUUGAAAUAUCGCUGCGAAAUAGAAACGAUAGGCUUUUCGUCGAUAGUAUACGACAGAACGAACACUGCUUAAAUCGAAAUAUAUGUGUUAAUUGGGUCGUGGAUUCCCGGAUAGCAGUUCCUAAGUAUCACGCUCGUUAGAGCAAGAUGGUUCUUUAUUCUCUUGUCUGAUAAGGAAUACUUAACAUUUUGAUAUUUUUAUUAUAACACUAUUUUUAUUAACUUUGUUAAUUUUUUUUUUUUUUCUUUUAGGAAGCCUAUGUUGUAAUUUCGUUCUACUGUUUGGAUACGGAUAAAAGAACAAUUCAACGCUCUAGUUGGAAAUGGUCUUUGUAAAAUUGCGACUCACGGAAAGCCUCCUUCCUCUAGGAUCUAUCAUGAAUAUGAAGAUGAGAGAGGAAAGAAAAGGAGCCAGGAAGAUGCGAUGGAAGCAAUAACGAAGGAUGGAAUCUUGAAGAAUCUUCCAUUGGGUUAAAAUCAGCAAGAAAACAACGCUUCCUUCAUUUUACCGAACCGAAAGAAGACUCGCCUCUCCUUCGUGCGUAUUGCUUCUUUAAAUCUGCUUAAGCUCCAACGUUCUACGUAAUUCUCGGCGAUUUUGCGCACCCCUAAGCGUUUCUGCGUGACACCCUAAGCGAUCCUGCGAUACCCUGAGCAUUUCUGCGAUACCCUGAGCGUUUCUGCGACACCCUGAGCGUUUCUGCGACACCCCGAGCGUUUCUGCGACACCCCGAGCGUUUCUGCGACACCCCGAGCGUUUCUGCGACACCCCGAGCGUUUCUGCGACACCCCGAGCGUUUCUGCGACACCCCGAGCGUUUCUGCGACACCCCGAGCGUUUCUGCGACACCCCGAGCGUUUCUGCGACACCCCGAGCGUUUCUGCGACACCCCGAGCGUUUCUGCGACACCCCGAGCGUUUCUGCGACACCCCGAGCGUUUCUGCGACACUACCUUGAGCGUACCUUGGAUACCCUAAGCGAUCUUGCAUGAUACCCUGAGCGUUUCUGCGACACCCUCAGCGUACCUGUGCAAUCCCUAACGUCGUAUUCUGUUCAAUUCUCAGCGUUUUGCGUAACCACCAGCAUUUCAAACGAUUCCCCUGCUUUAGUCUUGCGCAUAAUUGCGAUGUUUUACGAAAAAUUACAAGAUAGAAACAAAUUUGUUAGAAUCAUUGUUAUAAUAUUGUUGGAGUUUAUAGAGCGUUGAAAAAAUGAAACUUCAAUUGGAAGGUAGUACAUCAGUUGAUUUUUUCUUUCCGGAAUGUUAACAUAAAAUUGUUUUAUACUUCACAAGAUAUUACGUGCGGUGCAACGUUUAAGCGGUUGUAUUAUUGUUUAAAUCUUAUUUUAUAUCGACCAAUCGUAUAUUAUAGAUUCUUUAAAUAAUUGUAAAGUGAUAGAAAGCAUACAUAAACUUGGGUGCGUUAAGAAAACUAUUAUUUAAGUAUAAUUUUAUAUCGAACAAACGUAUAUUGUAAACCGUUUAAAUAAUUGUAUAGUGAUAAGAAGCGUAUAUAAACAAUGGUGCGUUGAGAAAAAUAUUUAAAUAUAAUUUUAACUCGAGUAAACGUAUAGUAUAGAAUGUUCAAAUAAUUAGUUAAACUAAUAGAAAGUAUACAUAAAUUCUGAUGCGUUGAGAGAAUUAUCGUUUAAUUAUAAUUUUAUACCGAACAAACGUAUAUUGUAAAAUUGUUUAAAUAAUUGUAAAGUGAUAGAAAGCAUACAUAAAUUUGAUGCGUUAAGAGAAUUUUAGACCACCGUUGGGCGAAUCGAAAACCGUCGUCCAGUAUUUAUCCGUAACAACAAACAUCUUUUUAGACAAUUCUUAGGAUAUCGCGUGACCCCAGCUUCGCGAAUAAUUGAAAUGCUCAUAUACUAAAAAAGAAAAAAUAUUUUUAUCAUUGUAAUAAGAAAGCGUCGAAAAAAAAGGAAGGCAGUAUGUAAGCAGAUUUCUGUUCUGCGAAACGUUCGAUUAAAAUUAUUUUCUACGUACUACGAGCGGUAUAAAGCUUGAGCGGCGGGGUUGUAUUCUGUAAAUAUUAGUUUGAUACUACCGAGCGUACAUAUGUAGCGUACAUUGCUUAAAUGAUUGUAAAACGACAAAAAAUAAAAAUGAUCUAGGUUUAGCGCGGUUCAACGCGGUCCAACGCGUGUACCGGAAAUUUUAGGGCAUGGUAGAGCGUUUCAACUACCGUGAAUCCAUUCGUGCGUAAUUAAGCGUGUUGCGUAAUUCCGAACAGAUUGGCGUAACCCUUAGAAAUAUUGCGUAAACCCCUAACCCUUAUUUAGGUAAAUUCUCUGGCUCUGCCAGACGCAACGCAGCGAUUUCGCCCACUACGUGGUUUGGCGUAAGUAUCCAUUUGGCAAGGUAUGGUUUUUUUUUACACGUAAGUCCUAUCGAUUUUUCGCAACGUCCGACGUGGACACCCAGAGUUUUGUCUUUUUCAGGUUAUCUGCAACCUCGGAGUUAUUUAUUUACCUACAUACUAUCGAGAUUACUGAAGCGAUGGUAUUUUUUUUGCAUAAUGUUAAGGGCAUUGCGUCGUUUUGAACGAAUGCGCGUAAUCAGUAGUUUCUUUUUUUUUUUUGUAUGAAGCCCACCGUAUCUAUAUAAUCCUUACAAAUUUUGUGUAAACCUUUGCGUGUAUUCAGCCGAACUUCUGUGGUCUAACUUCGGUGUAAUCCAGACGCGACCCAACGAUUUGCAGUAAGUAUUUUUCUCACUUAAUGCCUUUAUGUUCGUUCCGUAAUUCUACGCGUGUUGCGUAAAUUGCAUAGUAUCUGCAACCCGCAGCUCAUUUUCCUAGGUACCAGCGAAGUUAUUUAAACUGCGGCAUUUUUUUUUCAUAGUUCGGGAUAUUUUCGUUUUAUCCGAAGAAUCCGCGUUUUUAUAUAGCCUAACGUCUCUGUGUAAACCAUGGCGUGUAUUUAGCUUCAUUUUAGCGUGUCUACUUAACUCUAACGUUUCCACAUUAUCACUUAGUUAUCGACCAUAUUUUUUUUUUUUAACGUGAUCUCUAUUCGUCGCGUAAUUCUUCGCGUAUAUAGUAAUUUGGAGGGUAUUUAGAGCCCUAGCUUAUUUUCCAUGAUACUGGAUGGGUUACUUACGCGACAGAAUAUUUGCAUAGUCCCAGGGGUACUUCCGAUGAAUCGUUGCAAUGUCCAACUUCUUUACAACGCCAAGCGAUUUUGCGAAACCUUUGCACGAUUUGAAAGCCCUAGUGUAACGUAGCGUAACGUAUUUUUACAUAACGAUCCCGAGAUUUGUCGAAAGUACUUUUUUCUUUUUUCAUAAUGCUUGUCGGAGGUUUUUCUUUUUGACAUUCUUAACAGCUGCGUUAUUCGUAGAAUACUCUAAGCAGCUUAUUUUCGUAGAUACUAGCUAGGUUAUUGAAACGACAGCAUUUUUCUUUUUUCUUUUUUAUAAUUCGUAGGGCACUCGUUAGAUCCGACGAAUCUGCGUAAAUACUAGGGUUUUACUCGUAGAUGACCGUGUACUUUCAUGUGUAUCUGCAACUAUCAGCUUAUUAAUCGAAGAUAUUACCGAGGUUAUAUGAUCGACUGCAUUUAUUUUGCAUAAUCUGUGGGGCACUCGCGUUAUUUCCGAAGAAUCUGCGUAAAUACUAGGGUUUUCAGGAAAUGCAGCGUUUCUGUGUAAUCCUUGUAGAUUUGGCGUCGGUAAUAGGGCGUAUUUAGGUAGCCUCCGAGAAUGCGGCGUAAUCCGAUUGUUUCCGCGUUACCACCCUGUGAUUUCGCGUAAGUACUUGCAUUUAUACGUAAUACUUGUGUAAAUUCCUGUCGGUUUUCGAUAACUCGUGGAUGACCGUGUAGUUCCCGUGUAUUUACAACUGUCGGCUUAUUAAUCGAAGAUAUUACCGAGGUUAUAUGAUCGACUGCAUUUUUUUUUUUGCAUAAUCUGUGGGGCACUCGCGUUAUUUCCGACGAAUCUGCGUAAAUACUAGGGUUUUCAGGAAAUGCAGCGUUUCUGUGCAAUCCUUGUAGAUUUGGCGUCGGUAAUAGGGCGUAUUAGGUAGCCUCCGAGAAUGCGGCGUAAUCCGAUUGUUUCCGCGUUACCACCCUGUGAUUUCGCGUAAGUACUUGCAUUUAUACGUAAUACUUGUGUAAAUUCCUGUCGGUUUUCGAUAACUCGUGGAUGACCGUGUAGUUCCCGUGUAUUUACAACUGUCGGCUUAUUAAUCGAAGAUAUUACCGAGGUUAUAUGAUCGACUGCAUUUUUUUUUUUUGCAUAAUCUGAGGGGCACUCGCGUUAUUUCCGACGAAUCUGCGUAAAUACUAGGGUUUUCAGGAAAUGCAGCGUUUCUGUGUAAUCCUUGUAGAUUUGGCGUCGGUAAUAGGGCGUAUUUAGGUGGCCUCCGAGAAUGCGGCGUAAUCUGAUUCUUUCCGCAUUACCACCCUGUGAUUUCGCGUAAGUACUUGCCUUUGUACGUAAUACUUGUGUAAAUUCCUGUCGGUUUUCGAUAACUCGUAGAUGACCGUGUAGUUCCCGUGUAUUUACAACUGUCGGCUUAUUAAUCGAAGAUAUUACCGAGGUUAUUUUAUCGACUGCAUUUUUUUUUUGCAUAAUCCGCGGGGCACUCGUUAUAUCCGACGAAUUUGCGUAACUACUAGCAUUUUCAUAAAGUCCGGCAUUUCUGCGUAACCUACAGAUUUUACAAAAAUCUAAGUACGCAAUCUACAGCGUGGGACAUAACCCCACUGUCUUCGCUUUACCAUCCGGUGAUUAGAAGUAUUUGUCCGUUUUCUUUUUAGGUAAUCCCUCGGUUUUUCAAUAAUUCCUAACGUACCGACGUAGUUCCUAGGUUUAUCAGCAAUACCCAGGUUAUUUUCUUAGAUACUAGCGAGGUUACUUAAACGAUAUUUUUGUCCUCCGAGCUUUCUCCGUAAUAUCAUUUUUUUCCGCAUAACCAUCUCGUGAUUUCGCUCAAGUAUAUUGUUUUUCCGUAAUGGAUGUCGAUUUUUCCUAACUCCUAGAUGACCGUGUAAUUUCCAGGAUAUCUGUAACGAUCAGCUUAUUAAUUCUAGAUAUUAACGAGGUUAUUUAGUCGAUAGCAUUUUUGAAUAGUCCCUGAGGCGGUUGCAUUAUUUACGUAGACUAUACGAACUACCAGCAUCUUUAUAAAGCUCAUCGUUUCUGGGUAACCCUUACAGAUUUUGGCUUAUCCGACUGGCGAUUUGAAGUAAGUAUUUGUGCUUUAUUUUUUAUUCUUAUGUAAUAUCUGUCUUCAAUAAUUACUAAUAUACCGACGUAAUUUCUAGGUUAUCCGUCGUACCCAUCUUAUUUCCCUAGAUUCUAGAGAGGUUACUUAAACGACAACAUCGUUGCAUAAUCCCAGGGGCAUAUUCGUUAUUUCCUACGAAUCAAGUAACGACCAGCGUCUUCAUAAAGUGCAGCAUUUCUGUAUAUCCUCAUAGAUUUGUCGUCAAUCCUAGAACGUAUUUAGGUGGCCUCCGAGCGUCAGGCGUAACGUCAUAGUGUCCGCAUAAGCGAAUAAAUUUGUUUUUACCUAACGCUUGUCAAAAUGCUUGUCAAUUUUGCAUAAUUCCUAGAUGUCCGUGUAAUUUCCACGGUAUCUUCAUCCACCAACUUACUAAUCCUAGAUAUUAACGUAGUUAUUUAAUAAACAGCAAUUAGCAUAGUCCGUGGGGCGUUUGCGUUAUUAUCGAAAAAUCGGCGUAACCACCAGCAUUUCCAUAAAGCUCGUUUCUAUGUAACCCUUACAAAUUUUGCAAAAAUUCUAGUACGUAUUAUGGUGGUUUACAGUGGUUCGACGUAAUUCCACAGUAAUCGCAUAAAAACCAUUCAGUGAUAUGAAGUAAUUAUUUUUCUUAUGUUCCUCUCUCUUAGGUAAUCGAUUGGUUUUUCCUGUUUAUCUGUAAUGCCCAGCUUAUUUUUCUAAAUAUUACGUAGAAUCGAUAAAUGACAACAUAUUUGCAUAAUCCCAGGGGCACCGCCAUAUGGGUGUGAACGUAAGUGUGUACGUACGAAUGAGAGCGUAGAGUGCCUCUACCGGCCAUUUUCUAAAACAGGUAGCAGGCCUCCGUAAUAUCCGUGUAAUCACUCUCAGACUGAUUUUAGUGUCUAAUAUUUGUUUCAUUUUAUUGUAUACUAUUUGCCUGAUUUUAUUGUAUAAUAUUUGUCUCAUUUUAAUAUAUACUAUUUGUUUAAUUUUAUUGCAUGAUAUUUGUGUGAUUUUAUUAUAUAAUAUUAAACAGAGGAGAAACUAUAAGUAGACAUCAGAAUUUGAAUGUUUGUGAUUGAUCAUUUAUACGACGCCUUUGAAUAAUCGUCUAAAAAGAAAACGGUUACAUCAAGCCUGCGUCUUUAUUGAAUAAGAGACACGACUGAGCUUCGAUGACAUUCCGCCUGCAGUACGUCUGAUUUGCGUUCAGUAUUCUAUCAGACUUCCUUCUGUUUCAUGUUAAAUUAUGCGGCAUAAGCUGUGGAAAGAUUGUAAAAGAGACGUAUAAGAACUGUAUGAGAGUUGUGCAAAAGUUGUGUGAGAUGUCCAAAAUGUGUGUAAAAGUUGUGUGAGACUUACAUAAAAGGUGCGUACAACUUGUGAGAAAAUUCUAUAAAAGUUGUAGAAAAAGUAUUAUCUGAAGGUUGUGUCUGAGGUUGUGUCUGAGGUUGUGUCUGAAGGUUGUGUUUGAAGGUUGGGUCUGAGGUUGUGUCUGCAGGUUGUGUCUGAAGGUAGUGUCUGAAGGUUGGGUCUGAGGUUGCGUCUGAAGGUUGUGUCCGAAGGUUGCGUCCGAAGGUUGUGUCUGAGGUU
Vespula vulgaris is the source of this 9545-nucleotide long non-coding RNA. RefSeq lists it as uncharacterized. The record is from RefSeq and is a predicted model, not a curated record. Lineage: Eukaryota; Metazoa; Arthropoda; Insecta; Hymenoptera; Vespidae. The transcript is spliced from 11 exons.